Molecule: ribosomal RNA, 1221 nt
Filed under: Halomonas sp. BHA16
Lineage: Bacteria; Pseudomonadati; Pseudomonadota; Gammaproteobacteria; Oceanospirillales; Halomonadaceae
Description: bacterial SSU rRNA
Rfam family: Bacterial small subunit ribosomal RNA
Source: RNAcentral
GAUGUAAGGUUUCCACGGCGUCGAGCGGCGGACGGGUGAGUAAUGCAUAGGAAUCUGCCCGAUAGUGGGGGAUAACCUGGGGAAACCCAGGCUAAUACCGCAACGUCCUACGGGAGAAAGCAGGGGAUCUUCGGACCUUGCGCUAUCGGAUGAGCCUAUGUCGGAUUAGCUAGUUGGUGGGGUAAUGGCCCACCAAGGCGACGAUCCGUAGCUGGUCUGAGAGGAUGAUCAGCCACAUCGGGACUGAGACACGGCCCGAACUCCUACGGGAGGCAGCAGUGGGGAAUAUUGGACAAUGGGCGAAAGCCUGAUCCAGCCAUGCCGCGUGUGUGAAGAAGGCCCUCGGGUUGUAAAGCACUUUCAGUGAGGAAGAAGGCCUUCGGGUUAAUACCCUGGAGGAAGGACAUCACUCACAGAAGAAGCACCGGCUAACUCCGUGCCAGCAGCCGCGGUAAUACGGAGGGUGCGAGCGUUAAUCGGAAUUACUGGGCGUAAAGCGCGCGUAGGCGGUUUGAUAAGCCGGUUGUGAAAGCCCCGGGCUCAACCUGGGAACGGCAUCCGGAACUGUCAGGCUAGAGUGCAGGAGAGGAAGGUAGAAUUCCCGGUGUAGCGGUGAAAUGCGUAGAGAUCGGGAGGAAUACCAGUGGCGAAGGCGGCCUUCUGGACUGACACUGACGCUGAGGUGCGAAAGCGUGGUAAGCAAACAGGAUUAGAUACCCUGGUAGUCCACGCCGUAAACGAUGUCGACUAGCCGUUGGGCUCCUUGAGAGCUUUGUGGCGCAGUUAACGCGAUAAGUCGACCGCCUGGGGAGUACGGCCGCAAGGUUAAAACUCAAUGAAUUGACGGGGCCCGCACAAGCGGUGGAGCAUGUGGUUUAAUUCGAUGCAACGCGAGACCUUACCUACUCUUGACAUCGAGAGACUUGGCAGAGAUGCCUUGUGCUUCGGGACUCUCAGACAGUGCUGCAUGCUGUCGUCAGCUCGUGUGUGAAUGUUGGGUAGUCCGUACGAGCGCACCUGUCCCUAUUGCAGCGAUCGUCGGACUCUAGAGACUGCGGUGACACCGAGAAAAGUGACGACUCAGUCAUCAUGGCCCUACGGUAGGCUACCACUGCUCAUGCCGUCCAAGGUGCGAACCCCAGGUGACUAUUCGAACGCUAUUCGGAUCGAUCGCACUGACUCUGACCGGAUCGUAUCUGAUCGAGUACGGUAACUCGGCCG